UCAAAACAGCGGCCUUCGGGCCUUGCUGCACCCUUGUCUUUUGCGCACCGUAUUGUUUCCUCGGCGGGCUUGCCUGCCGGUUGGACAUUAUCAAACCUUUUUGUAGUUGCAAUCAGUGUCAGAAAAACAAUAAUUAUUG
This 139-nucleotide unclassified non-coding RNA is filed under the name soil metagenome. RNAcentral's name for it is "partial internal transcribed spacer 1". The record is from RNAcentral.